Molecule: transfer RNA, 71 nt
Filed under: Nothoprocta ornata
Lineage: Eukaryota; Metazoa; Chordata; Aves; Tinamiformes; Tinamidae
Also listed under: 2 other names
Description: tRNA-Gln
Rfam family: tRNA
About the family: Transfer RNA (tRNA) molecules are approximately 80 nucleotides in length. Their secondary structure includes four short double-helical elements and three loops (D, anti-codon, and T loops).
Source: RNAcentral
UAGGAAAUAAUAUAAUGGAAGUAUAAGGAGUUUUGAUCUCCUUAGUGUGGGUUCGACUCCCACUUUUCUAU